AACGAACGCUGGCGGCAGGCCUAACACAUGCAAGUCGAGCGAGCAUUUCGGUGCUAGCGGCGGACGGGUGAGUAACGCGUGGGAACGUGUCCUUUUCUGCGGAAUAGUCCUGGGAAACUGGGGGUAAUACCGCAUACGCCCUUUUGGGGAAAGAUUUAUCGGAGAAGGAUCGGCCCGCGUUGGAUUAGGUAGUUGGUGGGGUAAUGGCCCACCAAGCCGACGAUCCAUAGCUGGUUUGAGAGGAUGAUCAGCCACACUGGGACUGAGACACGGCCCAGACUCCUACGGGAGGCAGCAGUGGGGAAUCUUAGACAAUGGGGGCAACCCUGAUCUAGCCAUGCCGCGUGAGUGAUGAAGGCCUUAGGGUUGUAAAGCUCUUUCAGCUGGGAAGAUAAUGACGGUACCAGCAGAAGAAGCCCCGGCUAACUCCGUG
RNAcentral lists this ribosomal RNA (433 nucleotides) under uncultured bacterium. RNAcentral describes it as "partial 16S ribosomal RNA". It matches the Rfam family "Bacterial small subunit ribosomal RNA", at positions 29 to 507 of the family's 1533-position model. The record is from RNAcentral.